CGGCUCCACCCCACUUCACAGCGAGGCUUCAACGCUCACCAAGGUACCUUCCUACUCCUGACCGGUUAACAGCAAUCCUUCCCAGUCAGGUUCUAGUAUAGGUCCUUCGUUCUAGCGCCAUCCAUUUUCAGGGCUGGUUGAUUCGGCAGGUGAGUUGUUACACACUCCUUAGCGGAUUCCAACUUCCAUGGCCACCGUCCUGCUGUCUAUAUCAACCAACACCUUUCAUGGUGUCUCAUGAACGAAGAGUUAGGCACCUUAACUAGAAGUUAGGUUCAUCCCUCAGCACCGGUUCUGCUUACCAAAAACGGCCCACUAGUUGCACAUAUAAACUUCCAUCUCCAAUUAAGAGAGACAGAACAUUCCCAUUUAAAGUUUGAGAGUAAGCUGAGGACAUUUCGUCCCCAUUACUUCCAAUCAUUCGCUUUACCGGAAAUAAAUACAACAACGUGCAACAGCUAUCCUGAGGGAAACUUCGGAAGGAACCAGCUACUAGAUGGCUCGAUUAGUCUUUCGCCCCUAUGCUCAGAUCCAACGAUCGAUUUGCACGUCAGAAUCGUUACGGUCUUCCACCAGAGUUUCCCCUGGCUUCAACCUCUCCAAGCAUAGUUCGCCAUCUUUCGGGUUUCAGCAUAUGCGCUCAAACGCCGCCCCAAUGUAAGACACAGCAGGACGGGUCGGUAUUGCGCCGGGCUCAACAAGUUGUGAGGAUCCGGAUCAUACCAAUGAACACAUGAGAGUGAACUCUUGCUUUCACUACGCCUUUAGGUUUAGUAAAAAACCCAAUGACUCGCGCACAUGCUGAGCUCCUCGGUCCGUGUUUCAAGACGGGUCGGUUGGGUGACCUACUUUAACACCAGAGACUAUCGACGUAAAGUUUACAGCCGACACCGACCGCCCGAGAAGUGACAUCUCCUUGCGGAGUCGCCUCCUCAACGAACAGCCAGUUAUCAAACCAACAAAGCGCCUGUAGGGCUUACGUCGCAGCUAACACACUGCACUAGCAGACCAAUGCAAGGAGUAUAUCACAACACCCGAGGGCAUCGUUACCACCACCUCACGACAGUCCGCCUGCGCAGCGGUCCUGGUGCAGACCAAGCGGAAGUGCACCCAGCCAAGCCGCAGAUAACGCGCCGCCGAUGAAAACUAAGAAUCAUUCGAACAACACGCCACCGCAACCCGGUCAGGCUGAAUCCACAAGGACUUUUUCGGCCCCAUCCGUUUACCUCUAGACGGUUUCACGUACUAUUGAACUCUCUCUUCAAAGUUCUUUUCAACUUUCCCUCACGGUACUUGUUGACUAUCGGUCUAGUGCAUAGUAUUUAGCCUUAGGAGGAGUUUACCUCCCACUUUGGGCUGCAAUCUCAAACAACCCGACUCCAAGAACAGCCUAGGAGAAGCGAAUCCAAUCCGUACGGGACUUACACCCUCUUUGGACCUAAAGUCACAAUCAAGUGAACUUCAGAAAGGACUCGCGACCCAAAGGCCGUUCUAUACCCCACAAUUCCCAACGGCGCAAGGCCGAGGGAUUCAGGGCUGGGCUCUUCCCUCUUCACUCGCAGUUA
This 1565-nucleotide ribosomal RNA is filed under the name Archilina regina. RNAcentral describes it as "partial 28S ribosomal RNA". Lineage: Eukaryota; Metazoa; Platyhelminthes; Proseriata; Monocelididae. The record is from RNAcentral.